CCUACGGGAGGCAGCAGUGGGGGAUAUUGCACAAUGGGGGGAACCCUGAUGCAGCGACGCCGCGUGGGUGAAGAAGGGCCUCGGCGCGUAAAGCCCUGUCAGCAGGGAAGAAAAGGACGGUACCUGCAAACGAAGCACCGGAUAACUCCGUGCCAGCAGCCGCGGUAAUACUGAGGGUGCGAGCGUUAAUCGGAAUGACUGGGCGUAAAGGGCUAGUAGGGGGUAUGUCAAGUCAAGGGUGAAAUCCCCGCGCUCAACGUGGGAACUGCCUUUGAAACUGGCAAACUGGAGUGUGUGAGAGGAUAGUGGAAUUCCAGGUGUAGGGGUGAAAUCCGUAGAUAUCUGGAGGAACAUCAGUGGCGAAGGCGACUAUCUGGCACAUAACUGACGCUGAGGAGCGAAAGCGUGGGUAGCAAACAGGAUUAGAUACCCGAGUAGUC
Molecule: ribosomal RNA, 440 nt
Filed under: uncultured bacterium
Lineage: Bacteria
Description: partial 16S ribosomal RNA
Rfam family: Bacterial small subunit ribosomal RNA
Source: RNAcentral